Molecule: ribosomal RNA, 590 nt
Filed under: uncultured bacterium
Lineage: Bacteria
Description: partial 16S ribosomal RNA
Rfam family: Bacterial small subunit ribosomal RNA
Source: RNAcentral
UGGGGAAUAUUGGACAAUGGGGGCAACCCUGAUCCAGCCAUGCCGCGUGUGUGAAGAAGGCCUUUUGGUUGUAAAGCACUUUAAGCAGGGAGGAGAGGCUAAUGGUUAAUACCCAUUAGAUUAGACGUUACCUGCAGAAUAAGCACCGGCUAACUCUGUGCCAGCAGCCGCGGUAAUACAGAGGGUGCGAGCGUUAAUCGGAAUUACUGGGCGUAAAGCGAGUGUAGGUGGCUCAUUAAGUCACAUGUGAAAUCCCCGGGCUUAACCUGGGAACUGCAUGUGAUACUGGUGGUGCUAGAAUAUGUGAGAGGGAAGUAGAAUUCCCAGGUGUAGCGGUGAAAUGCGUAGAGAUCUGGAGGAAUACCGAUGGCGAAGGCAGCUUCCUGGCAUAAUAUUGACACUGAGAUUCGAAAGCGUGGGUAGCAAACAGGAUUAGAUACCCUGGUAGUCCACGCCGUAAAACGAUGCCUACUAGCCGUUGGGGUCCUUGAGACUUUAGUGGCGCAGUUAACGCGAUAAGUAGACCGCCUGGGGGAGUACGGCCGCAAGGUUAAAACUCAAAGGAAUUGACGGGGUCAUAGCUGUUUCCU